RNAcentral lists this small RNA (51 nucleotides) under Helianthus annuus (common sunflower). RNAcentral describes it as "tRNA". It matches the Rfam family "tRNA", at positions 10 to 63 of the family's 71-position model. Rfam says of the family: Transfer RNA (tRNA) molecules are approximately 80 nucleotides in length. The record is from RNAcentral. Lineage: Eukaryota; Viridiplantae; Streptophyta; Magnoliopsida; Asterales; Asteraceae.
GCAAAAAAUGCGGAUGGCUUUUAACCAUGUGGUCGUGGGUUCGAGUCCCAC